GAUGAACGCUAGCGGCAGGCUUAACACAUGCAAGUCGAGGGGCAGCGAGAUUGAUGCUUGCAUCAAUUGUCGGCGACCGGCGCACGGGUGCGUAACGCGUAUGCAACCUACCUCAAACAGGGGCAUAACACUGAGAAAUUGGUACUAAUUCCCCAUAAUAUUUUGGAGGGCAUCCUCUGAAGUUGAAAACUCCGGUGGUUUGAGAUGGGCAUGCGUUGUAUUAGCUAGUUGGUGAGGUAAUGGCUCACCAAGGCGACGAUACAUAGGGGGACUGAGAGGUUAACCCCCCACAUUGGUACUGAGACACGGACCAAACUCCUACGGGAGGCAGCAGUGAGGAAUAUUGGUCAAUGGACGAGAGUCUGAACCAGCCAAGUAGCGUGCAGGAUGACGGCCCUCUGGGUUGUAAACUGCUUUAGUGGAAUAAAAGAGGACGUGUCCCUAAUUGUAUGUACCAUC
Molecule: ribosomal RNA, 459 nt
Filed under: uncultured bacterium
Lineage: Bacteria
Description: bacterial SSU rRNA
Rfam family: Bacterial small subunit ribosomal RNA
Source: RNAcentral